Molecule: unclassified non-coding RNA, 200 nt
Filed under: [Candida] sp.
Lineage: Eukaryota; Fungi; Ascomycota; Saccharomycetes; Saccharomycetales
Description: Candida sp. (in: Saccharomycetales) partial internal transcribed spacer 2
Source: RNAcentral
UUAAGUUCAGCGGGUAGUCCUACCUGAUUUGAGGUCAAUGUUUGUGUGUUAGGGGGGUGGGAUUGUGAAGGGGGCAGUCAAUCUUCCAAUGAGUUGGCAGAACCUAGACAUUAGUAGAGAGAAAGCUCGUUUCCACGCACCCCCUGCGUAUUUCAGCGGGGCCUCGAAAGGCCUCCGCCAACACCAAGCUCACGCUUGAG